UCUCUUUGCAAAAGCGCCGCCAAGCUUUAUCUGUUGGGAGCUGGCUUGUUCCAGCUACGGUGCUAAACUGGCUUGCGGAAUAAGCGUAGUGGACCCGGGGGCAGUACCCGGCGCCUCCACCAUCUUUUUGGUGUCCCUCGGGGAGGGGCCAUCGAUGGGGGCGAAACAGGAUCGACACGCGUGGUAAAGGCUUGUUGGGUGCCCGGCAUGGUUCCGCCGUUAUCGGGCCGUUCUACAGGUGCCAACGACAACCGUAUGGCCCUCGCUGCCUAAUAGAUAAAGGCAAGCGCGGUUCGGGGGGCACCGGGCAACAGAAGCCCCCCACU
Molecule: transfer-messenger RNA, 326 nt
Filed under: Rhodospirillales bacterium
Lineage: Bacteria; Pseudomonadati; Pseudomonadota; Alphaproteobacteria; Rhodospirillales
Rfam family: Alphaproteobacteria transfer-messenger RNA
About the family: Bacterial tmRNA, also known as 10Sa RNA or SsrA, is named for its dual tRNA and mRNA-like properties. Its role is to liberate the mRNA from a stalled ribosome.
Source: RNAcentral